This 254-nucleotide ribosomal RNA is filed under the name uncultured bacterium. RNAcentral's name for it is "partial 16S ribosomal RNA". It matches the Rfam family "Bacterial small subunit ribosomal RNA", at positions 524 to 776 of the family's 1533-position model. The record is from RNAcentral.
UACGGGGGGAGCAAGCGUUGUUCGGAUUUACUGGGCGUAAAGGGCGCGUAGGCGGCCAGUGCAAGUCAGUUGUGAAAUCUCCGAGCUUAACUCGGAAAGGUCAACUGAUACUGCUCGGCUAGAGUGCGGAAGGGGCAACUGGAAUUCUUGGUGUAGCGGUGAAAUGCGUAGAUAUCAAGAGGAACACCUGCGGCGAAGGCGGGUUGCUGGGCCGACACUGACGCUGAUGCACGAAAGCGUGGGGAGCAAACAGG